Molecule: ribosomal RNA, 494 nt
Filed under: uncultured bacterium
Lineage: Bacteria
Description: partial 16S ribosomal RNA
Rfam family: Bacterial small subunit ribosomal RNA
Source: RNAcentral
GACGAACGCUGGCGGCGUGCUUAACACAUGCAAGUCGAACGGUGAAGCGCCUUCCUUUUUGGUGGGUGUGGAUGAGUGGCGAACGGGUGAGUAACACGAGAGUAACCUGCCCCCUUCUUCUGGAUAACCGCAUGAAAGUGUGGCUAAUACGGGCUAUUCUGGGUCUGUCGCAUGAUGGGUCUGGGAAAGAUAUUGUUUCGGUGGGGGCUGGGCGCGCGGCCUAUCAGCUUGGUGGUGGGGUGAUGGCCUACCAUGGCGGUGGCGGGUAGCCGGCCUGAGAGGGUGGACGGUCACACUGGGACGGGGACACGGCCCAGACUCCUACGGGAGGCAGCAGUGGGGAAUAUUGCACGAUGGGCGCAAGCCUGAUGCAGCGACGCCGCGUGAGGGAUGGAGGCCUUCGGGUUGUGAACCUCUUUCGCCAGUGAAGCAGGCCUGCCUCGUUUGUGGGUGGGUUGACGGUAGCUGGAGAAGAAGCGCCGGCUAACUACGUG